CGGCCCAAAUUCCUACGGGRGGCAGCAGUGGGAAUCUUGCMCAAUGGAGGAAACUCUGAUGCAGCGAUGCCGCGUGAGUGAAGAAGGCCUUUGGGUUGUAAAGCUCUUUCGUCGGGGAAGAAAAUGACUGUACCCGAAUAAGAAGGUCCGGCUAACUUCGUGCCAGCAGCCGCGGUAAUACGAAGGGACCUAGCGUAGUUCGGAAUUACUGGGCUUAAAGAGUUCGUAGGUGGUUGAAAAAGUUGGUGGUGAAAUCCCAGAGCUUAACUCUGGAACUGCCAUCAAAACUUUUCAGCUAGAGUAUGAUAGAGGAAAGCAGAAUUUCUAGUGUAGAGGUGAAAUUCGUAGAUAUUAGAAAGAAUACCAAUUGCGAAGGCAGCUUUCUGGAUCAUUACUGACACUGAGGAACGAAAGCAUGGGUAGCGAAGAGGAUUAGAUACCCUCGUAGUCCAUGCCGUAAACGAUGUGUGUUAGACGUUGGAAAUUUAUUUUCAGUGUCGCAGGGAAACCGAUAAACACACCGCCUGGGGAGUACGACCGCAAGGUUAAAACUCAAAUGAAUUGACGGGGACCCGCACAAGUAGUGGAGCAUGUGGUUUAAUUCGAAGAUACGCGCAGAACCUUACCAACACUUGACAUGUUCGUCGCGACUCUAAGAGAUUAGAGUUUUCGGUUCGGCCGGACGAAACACAGGUGCUGCAUGGCUGUCGUCAGCUCGUGUCGUGAGAUGUUGGGUUAAGUCCCGCAACGAGCGCAACCCUCACUUUUAGUUGCCAUCAUUAAGUUGGGCACUCUGAAAGAACUGCCAGUGAUAAGCUGGAGGAAGGUGGGGAUGACGUCAAGUCCUCAUGGCCCUUACGUGUUGGGCUACACACGUGCUACAAUGGCAUCUACAACAGGAAGCAAAACGGCAACGUUAAGCAAAUCCCGAAAAGAUGCCUCAGUUCGGAUUGCACUCUGCAACUCGAGUGCAUGAAGCUGGAAUUACUAGUAAUCGUGGAUCAGCGUGCCACGGUGAAUGCGUUCCCGGGUCUUGUACACACCGCCCGUCACACCAUGGGAGUUGGUUCUACCUUAAGGCAAGGUU
Molecule: ribosomal RNA, 1087 nt
Filed under: uncultured Pelagibacterales bacterium
Lineage: Bacteria; Pseudomonadati; Pseudomonadota; Alphaproteobacteria; Candidatus Pelagibacterales
Description: bacterial SSU rRNA
Source: RNAcentral